GAUUAAGCCAUGCAUGUGUAAGUAUAAAUAGUUAACUUUGAAACUGCGAAUGGCUCAUUAUAUCAGUUAUAGUUUAUUUGAUGAAGAAUACUAAUUGGAUAACCGUAGUAAUUCUAGAGCUAAUACAUGUAUAAAGUCUUGUAGACUGCAUUUAUUAGAAUGAAAACCAUAGGUUUCGGCCUAUUCGUGAGUAAUAAUAACUAAUCAUAUCGUAUGCUUGAGUAACGAUGUGUCUUUCAAGUUUCUGCCCUAUCAGCUUUCGAUGGUAGUGUAUUGGACUACCAUG
RNAcentral lists this ribosomal RNA (286 nucleotides) under Blastocystis sp. RNAcentral describes it as "partial small subunit ribosomal RNA". It matches the Rfam family "Eukaryotic small subunit ribosomal RNA", at positions 42 to 348 of the family's 1831-position model. The record is from RNAcentral. Lineage: Eukaryota; Bigyra; Opalinata; Blastocystidae.